Molecule: ribosomal RNA, 470 nt
Filed under: uncultured bacterium
Lineage: Bacteria
Description: partial 16S ribosomal RNA
Rfam family: Bacterial small subunit ribosomal RNA
Source: RNAcentral
GACGAACGCUGGCGGCGUGCCUAACACAUGCAAGUCGAGCGAAGAACUUCGGUUCUUAGCGGCGGACGGGUGAGUAACACGUGGGUAACCUGCCUCAAAGAGGGGGAUAGCCUCCCGAAAGGGAGAUUAAUACCGCAUAAUAUUAGAUCUUCACAUGGAGAUUUAAUUAAAGGAGUAAUCCGCUUUGAGAUGGACCCGCGGCGCAUUAGCUAGUUGGUGAGGUAACGGCUCACCAAGGCGACGAUGCGUAGCCGACCUGGGAGGGUGAUCGGCCACAUUGGAACUGAGACACGGUCCAGACUCCUACGGGAGGCAGCAGUGGGGAAUAUUGCACAAUGGGCGAAAGCCUGAUGCAGCAACGCCGCGUGAGUGAUGAAGGCCUUCGGGUUGUAAAACUCUGUCUUUGGGGACGAUAAUGACGGUACCCAAGGAGGAAGCCACGGCUAACUACGUGCCAGCAGCCGCCGUAA